This 490-nucleotide ribosomal RNA is filed under the name uncultured bacterium. RNAcentral's name for it is "partial 16S ribosomal RNA". It matches the Rfam family "Bacterial small subunit ribosomal RNA", at positions 30 to 507 of the family's 1533-position model. The record is from RNAcentral.
AUUGAACGCUGGCGGCAGGCCUAACACAUGCAAGUCGAACGGUAACAGGAAGAAGCUUGCUUCUUUGCUGACGAGUGGCGGACGGGUGAGUAAUGUCUGGGAAACUGCCUGAUGGAGGGGGAUAACUACUGGAAACGGUAGCUAAUACCGCAUAACGUCGCAAGACCAAAGAGGGGGACCUUCGGGCCUCUUGCCAUCGGAUGUGCCCAGAUGGGAUUAGCUAGUAGGUGGGGUAACGGCUCACCUAGGCGACGACCCCUAGCUGGUCUGAGAGGAUGACCAGCCACACUGGAACUGAGACACGGUCCAGACUCCUACAGGAGGCCGCAGUGGGAAAUAUUGCACAAUGGGCGCAAGCCUGAUGCAGCCAUGCCGCGUGUAUGAAGAAGGCCUUCGGGUUGUAAAGUACUUUCGGCGGGGAGGAAGGGAGUAAAGUUAAUACCUUUGCUCAUUGACGUUACCCGCAGAAGAAGCACCGGCUAACUCCGUG